Salvelinus sp. IW2-2015 is the source of this 711-nucleotide non-coding RNA. NCBI's taxonomy places the organism in Eukaryota, Metazoa, Chordata, Actinopteri, Salmoniformes, Salmonidae. The record is from RefSeq and is a predicted model, not a curated record.
GAGUAUGCCUGUAAGGACGCGGUGGAGGUCCUUCUGAGAGCGCGCCGACGUGACGGCCGUGGACAGCUUUGGCCACGACAUUCCACUACGCCCGCCUUAGCAAAACCAGGAGCUGGUCAGCCUUUUCAAGACCUACCUCGACAACGUCACCAAAGCAAAAGAAGCUGCCAAGAUGGAGCAGAAAAAGCGACAGCACUCAGUGGAGAUGACUGAAACAGGCCGAAGCCAACGUGAGGGUGAGACAAUGUUUUUUCUCUGCGUACAUUCAAUAUUGCAUUUGAUAGCCGGCUACAUUGAGUUUGACCUGUAGUCCUUUGUGAUGGACAGGGAUGUAAUUACCCAGUCUGAAUGUAUGAGGACAUUAAGCAAGAUGUACUCAGCAGUAUGUAGGGGAAUCUAUAGGCUGGCCUGAGCAUCGCGUGACACGAUUCUACAAUGUCCAGGAUAAUUGAAGGUACUAGUGAAUUUGUAUUUACUGUUGGAUCUAAUUAAACAGAUCUAUAGAUGAUUUCAACUCAGCGGUUACUGUCCGCCCUGAGAUUGGAAGGUUGGGGGUUCGAUCCAGGUCAAGCAUACCAGAGACUCUAAAAAUGGACCUGAUGCCGCUCUUGCUUGGCACUCAGCAUUAAGAAGAUGGAUUGGGGGUAACAGCUGAAACAAUUCGGGAAGAGUUUGUGUGUAUGUUAUAUUUUGUGCCGUUUUUGUUAGUUU